This 2900-nucleotide ribosomal RNA is filed under the name Klebsiella pneumoniae. Its description in RNAcentral is "bacterial LSU rRNA". It matches the Rfam family "Bacterial large subunit ribosomal RNA". Lineage: Bacteria; Pseudomonadati; Pseudomonadota; Gammaproteobacteria; Enterobacterales; Enterobacteriaceae. The record is from RNAcentral.
UUAAGCGACUAAGCGUACACGGUGGAUGCCCUGGCAGUCAGAGGCGAUGAAGGACGUGCUAAUCUGCGAAAAGCGUCGGUAAGGUGAUAUGAACCGUUAUAGCCGGCGAUGUCCGAAUGGGGAAACCCAGUGCAAUUCGUUGCACUAUCGUUAACUGAAUACAUAGGUUAACGAGGCGAACCGGGGGAACUGAAACAUCUAAGUACCCCGAGGAAAAGAAAUCAACCGAGAUUCCCCCAGUAGCGGCGAGCGAACGGGGAGCAGCCCAGAGUCUGAAUCAGCUUGUGUGUUAGUGGAACGGUCUGGAAAGUCCGACGGUACAGGGUGAUAGUCCCGUACACCAAAAUGCACAGGUUGUGAACUCGAAGAGUAGGGCGGGACACGUGGUAUCCUGUCUGAAUAUGGGGGGACCAUCCUCCAAGGCUAAAUACUCCUGACUGACCGAUAGUGAACCAGUACCGUGAGGGAAAGGCGAAAAGAACCCCGGCGAGGGGAGUGAAAAAGAACCUGAAACCGUGUACGUACAAGCAGUGGGAGCACCUUCGGGUGUGACUGCGUACCUUUUGUAUAAUGGGUCAGCGACUUAUAUUCUGUAGCAAGGUUAACCGUAUAGGGGAGCCGCAGGGAAACCGAGUCUUAACUGGGCGUUAAGUUGCAGGGUAUAGACCCGAAACCCGGUGAUCUAGCCAUGGGCAGGUUGAAGGUUGGGUAACACUAACUGGAGGACCGAACCGACUAAUGUUGAAAAAUUAGCGGAUGACUUGUGGCUGGGGGUGAAAGGCCAAUCAAACCGGGAGAUAGCUGGUUCUCCCCGAAAGCUAUUUAGGUAGCGCCUCGUGAACUCAUCUUCGGGGGUAGAGCACUGUUUCGGCUAGGGGGUCAUCCCGACUUACCAACCCGAUGCAAACUACGAAUACCGAAGAAUGUUAUCACGGGAGACACACGGCGGGUGCUAACGUCCGUCGUGAAGAGGGAAACAACCCAGACCGCCAGCUAAGGUCCCAAAGUCAUGGUUAAGUGGGAAACGAUGUGGGAAGGCACAGACAGCCAGGAUGUUGGCUUAGAAGCAGCCAUCAUUUAAAGAAAGCGUAAUAGCUCACUGGUCGAGUCGGCCUGCGCGGAAGAUGUAACGGGGCUAAACCAUGCACCGAAGCUGCGGCAGCGACACUAUGUGUUGUUGGGUAGGGGAGCGUUCUGUAAGCCUGCGAAGGUGACCUGUGAGGGUUGCUGGAGGUAUCAGAAGUGCGAAUGCUGACAUAAGUAACGAUAAAGCGGGUGAAAAGCCCGCUCGCCGGAAGACCAAGGGUUCCUGUCCAACGUUAAUCGGGGCAGGGUGAGUCGACCCCUAAGGCGAGGCCGAAAGGCGUAGUCGAUGGGAAACAGGUUAAUAUUCCUGUACUUGGUGUUACUGCGAAGGGGGGACGGAGAAGGCUAUGUUAGCCGGGCGACGGUUGUCCCGGUUUAAGCAUGUAGGCUGGUUGUCCAGGCAAAUCCGGAUAAUCAAGGCUGAGGUGUGAUGACGAGGUACUACGGUGCUGAAGUAACAAAUGCCCUGCUUCCAGGAAAAGCCUCUAAGCAUCAGGUAACAUCAAAUCGUACCCCAAACCGACACAGGUGGUCAGGUAGAGAAUACCAAGGCGCUUGAGAGAACUCGGGUGAAGGAACUAGGCAAAAUGGUGCCGUAACUUCGGGAGAAGGCACGCUGGUGUGUAGGUGAAGUCCCUGCGGAUGGAGCUGAGACCAGUCGAAGAUACCAGCUGGCUGCAACUGUUUAUUAAAAACACAGCACUGUGCAAACACGAAAGUGGACGUAUACGGUGUGACGCCUGCCCGGUGCCGGAAGGUUAAUUGAUGGGGUUAUCCGUAAGGAGAAGCUCUUGAUCGAAGCCCCGGUAAACGGCGGCCGUAACUAUAACGGUCCUAAGGUAGCGAAAUUCCUUGUCGGGUAAGUUCCGACCUGCACGAAUGGCGUAAUGAUGGCCAGGCUGUCUCCACCCGAGACUCAGUGAAAUUGAACUCGCUGUGAAGAUGCAGUGUACCCGCGGCAAGACGGAAAGACCCCGUGAACCUUUACUAUAGCUUGACACUGAACAUUGAGCCUUGAUGUGUAGGAUAGGUGGGAGGCUUUGAAGCGUGGACGCCAGUCUGCGUGGAGCCAACCUUGAAAUACCACCCUUUAAUGUUUGAUGUUCUAACGUUGGCCCCUGACCGGGGUUGCGGACAGUGUCUGGUGGGUAGUUUGACUGGGGCGGUCUCCUCCCAAAGCGUAACGGAGGAGCACGAAGGUUAGCUAAUCCUGGUCGGACAUCAGGAGGUUAGUGCAAUGGCAUAAGCUAGCUUGACUGCGAGCGUGACGGCGCGAGCAGGUGCGAAAGCAGGUCAUAGUGAUCCGGUGGUUCUGAAUGGAAGGGCCAUCGCUCAACGGAUAAAAGGUACUCCGGGGAUAACAGGCUGAUACCGCCCAAGAGUUCAUAUCGACGGCGGUGUUUGGCACCUCGAUGUCGGCUCAUCACAUCCUGGGGCUGAAGUAGGUCCCAAGGGUAUGGCUGUUCGCCAUUUAAAGUGGUACGCGAGCUGGGUUUAGAACGUCGUGAGACAGUUCGGUCCCUAUCUGCCGUGGGCGCUGGAGAAUUGAGGGGGGCUGCUCCUAGUACGAGAGGACCGGAGUGGACGCAUCACUGGUGUUCGGGUUGUCAUGCCAAUGGCACUGCCCGGUAGCUAAAUGCGGAAGAGAUAAGUGCUGAAAGCAUCUAAGCACGAAACUUGCCCCGAGAUGAGUUCUCCCUGAGACUUUAAGUCUCCUGAAGGAACGUUGAAGACGACGACGUUGAUAGGCCGGGUGUGUAAGCGCAGCGAUGCGUUGAGCUAACCGGUACUAAUGAACCGUGAGGCUUAACCUU